Molecule: long non-coding RNA, 800 nt
Organism: Salvelinus fontinalis (brook trout)
Lineage: Eukaryota; Metazoa; Chordata; Actinopteri; Salmoniformes; Salmonidae
Exons: 3
Source: RefSeq, a predicted model, not a curated record
CUUUGACACAUUUUCUCUUCCUUUGAAAUUCAUAUAGGACAGAACAUGGACACAAUGCAAUUGGGAUCAAGAAGAAGAUCUUCUCAGAAAUGAAUCAAGUCCAUGGAAUGGAUAUAGACAAAAAGAUAAUUCAAGGACUAUCAGAGGUCGAGAGUCGAGGCAGGGGUGAGGACAUCAUCCUGCUAUUUUGACAGUCCCUGAAGGACAAUACAGAAGAGGGAUUUGCUCUUAUUCCUUCCCUUUCUCUAAUGUAUUUUGUAAUAAAAUUAGCAAGUGUAGUAAGAUCAUUGCUUUACUUUACUAGGACUGGAGACCACAGCAGCGAUUCUGCUCUUGCCCUACCUCUUCAAUGAGGACCCGAGUGGCCUUUAUGUCCGUGACAAGAUUUCACCGCUCUUCACUCCUUUACUGCACAUCGGCGGAAAUCCAUUUCACCAUGAGAGUGAAAUCCGGCUGGUCUUUGAUGGGGGAGAACAUCCACGCCCUCGAGGACGUCCCCAUGGGACUUCUAGGGCUGUAUUUUUUAUUUUCCCUUACAUUUCCCAAAAAUGUCAGAAAAACACUUAUGUUGUUAAGUUACUGUGUUCUGGGGAUAAGAGAAGUUGGGGUGAAGUUACCAGGGCCUGUCAUAAAGAUGGCAAACUUCCUAACAUAACUAAGUGGAUACGAUAUACACACUAAAGCUGAAAAAUCUGUAUUUAGCAUCAAGUCUACAAUAUUGUUAGUUUACCUAUGAUUCAUUUUUAAUGUAUGUUGUUUUUAUUGUAAAUCAUUAUUUAUAUAUUUUUAAAUGUGAUGAA